This is a long non-coding RNA of Cucumis melo (muskmelon), 384 nucleotides long. RefSeq lists it as uncharacterized. Lineage: Eukaryota; Viridiplantae; Streptophyta; Magnoliopsida; Cucurbitales; Cucurbitaceae. The transcript is spliced from 3 exons. The record is from RefSeq and is a predicted model, not a curated record.
GACAUCCAAGUUCCAUUUUUGUUUUCUUUUUCCUUCUUCAAUUUGCAGAGAACUUCUAAGAGAGAGUUUGGAAGAAGAAGAGAAAUUUUACUAGAAUUUUUAGGUUGAAGAAGAGGAGGAGAACUCAAGCAAAGUGUAUCAAUGGCUGAAUUUUAGUUCAUUCUGCACAUCACUGGUUUUUAAUUCGGUUUGAACUCUUCAAAAGGAAUUAAGAGGGCAGUUGGUUUUCACUCGAAAUCAGGAGGUCUCUGGUUUUUCUUGUAUUUCAGAGUGUAUCGGUGGAGUUAGAAUCUCUAUUUGGGACAAGUUAAAGAGAUCGUGUGCGCGCGAUUCUGGAAGUGGUUCUGUUUUGAGGGUUAUAUGUCUUUAUGCACGGGAAAUCAG